RNAcentral lists this unclassified non-coding RNA (418 nucleotides) under soil metagenome. RNAcentral describes it as "partial contains 5.8S ribosomal RNA, internal transcribed spacer 2, and large subunit ribosomal RNA". The stretch from base 1 to 120 matches the Rfam family "5.8S ribosomal RNA", at positions 35 to 154 of the family's 154-position model. The record is from RNAcentral.
GAUGAAGAACGUAGCGAAAUGCGAUAAGUAAUGUGAAUUGCAGAAUUCAGUGAAUCAUCGAAUCUUUGAACGCACCUUGCGCUCCUUGGUAUUCCUUGGAGCAUGCCUGUUUGAGUAUCAUGAAAUUAUCAAAGCAAGUCUUUUGUUAAGUCAAUUGACUUUUUGCUUUGGAUUUGGAGGUCUUUGCAGAUUCACUUCUGCUCCUCUUAAAUGCAUUAGCUGGAUCUCAGUAUAUGCUCGGUUCCACUCGGCGUGAUAAGUAUCACUCGCUGAGGACACUUUUGUAAAAAAAAAGGUGGCCGGGAAAUACAGAUGAACCGCUUCUAAUAGUCUAUUGAGUUAGACAAUUAAUUUUAAGAUCUGAUCUCAAAUCAGGUAGGACUACCCGCUGAACUUAAGCAUAUCAAUAAGCGGAGGA